AGUACCUUAAAUGCUGGACAAAUUGGGAGGGCCUUGUGGCAUGACUGGCAGAAGUAGCACCACUAGUAAAAACAUUGCACUGUGUUAUACUCCAAAGUGUGCUGUGUGCCAAAUUGAGUGGGUAGUUGAAAGAUGUGAGGGAGACCAUGAUAAAAAUAAUCAGUUUAAUCAGUGCCUCCUCAAGUCUGCAGCACAGACUAUUUUGUGAGCUGGGUUCUGAGUCCUCUGCAAACGAUAAAGAUCUUCUUCUCCUCAGUGCAGUCUCAGUAAGGGCACAUCACUGGUACACAUCUGCAAGCCCAAGACUCAAGUUCUUGAUUUCCUUCAGCACAGCACUCACAAGAAAGCAGCUGAAUACCUGGCCCUUCUAGAAGAUACUGAAUUAAUGGUUAAAGUAGCAUUUUGUUGAUGUAUUUGGCCACCUGAAUACCUUGACUGUACAGCUGCUAGGCCAGAAGAAGAAAAUCGGUGACCUUGUCAAGAAGUUACAUCCAGCUUAUUCUGAAAAGCUUCUAUUUCUCUCUCAUUUUGAGCUUUGGGAAGCUUUUGCGCUUUGCUCAACUCUGCAGCCACUGAUGAGCACUGGAGGCAGAUGAUUUGAUCAGUCAUGGCAUGACAAGCUUCCUUCAACAGCUGAGACAACUUCAGCAUCUGAUUUGGAGACUUUUUUUUUUCUUUUUUCCCCAUGCCAAAGGUUGUAAUUGGCUUCAUAGGUGGUCAUUUCUCCAUACCACCUAAGGGAGACUUUGCAUCUCAUGCCUGUGAGGUUCUCUCCAUAAAAGACAUGGCCAUGCUACAGCUGGAACUAGUUGACUUGCAGACCUCUGAUGUGGUGAAGGGUGAAUUCAAGAACACAGAAAUUCAGACGCUAUCUGGAUAUAGAAAAGUAUCCAAACAUCAAACUCUCCUUCCUGGUACUCCCAAUGUUCGGAUCAAUGUAUUCAUGUGUGAUAACUGAAGGAGGGGGAGGUGGUAUCUCCCUUAUAGACACCCAGCCAGCCAGUUAGCUGUAAAAUCCCUCUUGGUGUGUUUUUUUUUUUUUUUUUUUUUUUUUUUUUUUUUUCCUGCUUGCUUUACCUGUAAGGGGUUAACAAGCCCACAGGUAACAGAGAAGGAGUGGGCACCUUGCCAAAAGAGCCAAUGGGAAGGCAGAACUUUUUAAAAUUGGGAAAGAAACUUUCCCUCUGUCUGCUGUUCUCCAGAGAAGGAGACACGGAGCAGCAAUGCUAUAAGCAGAAAUGCUGUGUAAGGCUUGAACCAGGAAUGUGUCUCCACCUUCUCAUCAGAAUCUCUGUGUUACCUGUCAGGCAUCAAACGGAAGAGUAAGGAAAGAGACAGUAUCAGGAAAUUAAAUGAUCAUUUCUAUACAAGCACCUCAAAGAAUUAAAACUUCCUGCCUGCAUUUAGAGAGAGAGAGAAAAAAAAAUGUCUUUCAUUGGAAUUAUGCAAAAUAAAAGCAUUCACUACUUUGAUUGCUAUGCUGCAAGUCUAGAGAAGCUGACAGUUUUGUUAUGGGCCUGCUUUAAAAAAUCCUGAUUUAGCAGAAGCAGGACAGGAAUGGAGGAAUAAGUAUUAUACUAUUAUUUAAUUAUGUUACUUUUAUUGGAAAAUCUCUCUAAUUACAUAUCAGUGACCUGUACAUUUAUAAUAAGUUUAAAGAAAACAAAAGAGAAGCCAUGUAAAUUUCAGCAAAGACAAACAGUUUGAGUGCUGGAUGUGAAAGCAGUCAUCCAAUGUGCAUGAACUGAUAAUGACUGAUGGUGAGAAGUGAAUUUUCUUUAGAAAAAUGAUUUGUGAAUUACAGGACCAGCUGAUGAAAGAACUUUACUGACCAAAGACAAUUAUUUUCUGUGACAACAGUAAAACCUAGAACCUUCAGCUGCAAAAAUCUCAGAUCUCUACCAUUACAGCUAAAGGACUUCGUGCCAGCUGUAGUAAUAUUAGGACUUACAUGUAGGGCAACCAUAUUUAAAUUUUUUUUUU
Long non-coding RNA from Dermochelys coriacea (leatherback sea turtle), 1983 nucleotides. RefSeq lists it as uncharacterized. The record is from RefSeq and is a predicted model, not a curated record. Lineage: Eukaryota; Metazoa; Chordata; Testudines; Dermochelyidae. The transcript is spliced from 2 exons.